GAAACGCGAUAGUUAAUGUGAAUUGCAGAAUUCAGUGAAUCAUCGAGUCUUUGAACGCACAUUGCGCCCAUAGGUAUUCCUUUGGGCAUGUCUGUUUGAGCGUCAUUACAACCCUCAGCUAACCGCUGGUUUUGAACCUGAACGGGUGACACCGCGCCGGUUUUAAAGUUGUAAGCUCUGCUGGCCGCUCUGCCCAACCAGAACAUAGUAAGCACUACUUGUCCGGGUGAAGCUGAACGGUACGGCCUGAACAAAACCUACCCACUCUCAAGGUUUGACCUCAGAUCAGACAAGGAUACCCGCUGAACUUAAGCAU
RNAcentral lists this unclassified non-coding RNA (316 nucleotides) under plant metagenome. Its description in RNAcentral is "partial contains 5.8S ribosomal RNA, internal transcribed spacer 2, and large subunit ribosomal RNA". The stretch from base 1 to 105 matches the Rfam family "5.8S ribosomal RNA", at positions 50 to 154 of the family's 154-position model. The record is from RNAcentral.